CUUAAAUAUUUUAGUUGUGCCCCUUGAAACAAAAAGGCGAACGAAAGAAGUGGUUUUGCUGGGCGGCUUAAAGUCCCUUGUUUGUUGAAUGAUCCGGGUUCGAGUUCCUCCUUCAGUGUUAUUGAAUGAAUACAACGUAACUUUAUGUACUUAAUAACAAAUUGUUUUAAUUUAUUCUUUAUUCUUUUUCUUUUGAAUUCAAUUAUAGUUUAGUUCUAACUUCUAAUACAUAAUAGUUAAUUAUUAUUUUUUUCAAAUUCAUGCCUUAAAAUUAAAAGCUUCAAAUUAAAAUUUAUCACUCCACAAAUAGAAAAAUAAAAAUCCUUAUGCCACAACUUUCUCAUUAAUCACUUUGACUCCGACUUAGCAAUGAAAACUACGAGUUUAAGACUCUUUUUUAGUUUUUUUUACUAUUAACAUACCCUUAAUCUUGAUUUCUUUGAAGUUUGAAUGCCCUUUUGAUUAUUAAAAAUAAAUUAUAAAUUUUAAAGUGCGAACCAUGCUUAAUCAAACAUUUUUCCUUUCCAUAACACCCACUAGUGAUUAGCAUACAGUGGUGCCCCACCAUGCUCAAAUUCUGGCUCCGCCUCUACCAGCUAAUAUUAACUUUCAAUAAUUCACAAUCUUAGUCUUUCGAAAUUGUGGGCAUUGGAGGGUGGAGAAGGGCAGAAAUAAUGAUAAAACAAAAUUUUCGUGUAUUUUUUUAUGCUUGUUGAUUUGUUAGCUUACAAGAGGCUGGAAACAAUGAGAACGGGCGAGCACCUCAUUCUGCUUGGAGAAACUAUGAUAAUUUUAAUGAGUAUUUCUGGUCCCGUCAUUGCUUCAAGCUUGGCUGGCCAUGGCGGAAGAUUCUUCCUUCUUCCUGCAUCCAACACCCUCAAAGAAUAUUCUUAAAUCUGGAGAUGGCAAGUGCAGGGGAAAAACUUCUUUUGUUGAGUACCGGACAUUUCUCCAUCUUUAACACAGUUUUCAUCGUCUUUGGAUGUUUCUUUUCAUGUUUUUUCCAGCACCUACAGUUCCUACCUCUUCUGCUGCUGCUAACAUUGAUGAGGUUCAUGCAUUGGGUUCUGACGAUGAUCAUGACUCUCCAGCCUCGCAUAGUUAGCCUAUUUUGUUUAGACUUUAUUGUUGGUGCUUGUGGAUGUUUUUUACUUAACGAUACAAUUACAUGCAUUAUAUUAUAUAUCAUGGACCUUGUCGAAUGUUAAUUAUAUUAAUAUUAGUCACUUUUAAUUAAGUGUA
Molecule: long non-coding RNA, 1242 nt
Organism: Nicotiana tabacum (common tobacco)
Lineage: Eukaryota; Viridiplantae; Streptophyta; Magnoliopsida; Solanales; Solanaceae
Source: RefSeq, a predicted model, not a curated record